ACCGUUCAUAUUCUUCACAACCAGAAACUAAACUCAGGUCCCAUAUUAGCAACUUCGUUACAUGAAGGUAGCAAGCAGGUAGGAAAAGCAAAAGGCAACUCAUGUCCCAACUUAGCAUGAAUCCUGGCGUCCGGAGGCACACCAUUUCACAUUUUAUUCUCUGCAUAGACAAGCAGCGGGGCCGUUCCACGACCGCAAAGGCCUAGGGAAGGAACCAUGGAGCGGAGAUGACGCUCUACUGGGUCUUGAACAUGUGGCGGAUCAGGUCGACAACACGGUUGCUGUAGCCCCACUCGUUGUCGUACCAGGAGACAAGCUUGACGAAGUUGUCGUUCAGAGCAAUUCCAGCCUUGGCGUCGAAGAUGCUCGACCUAAGUGGAAACAAUGAAACAGGAAAAAAAAUGAAUAACACAGCACAGGAACAAAACAACAUUCACUAGAAUUCAUCGUAGCACUAUCGUGGUGUGCCCUAGAAUAUCCACUGGUUCCUAGAACUUGGAGGACCCAAAGCAAAUUUCGUGUACCUGCUGUCACCAGUGAAGUCAGUGGAAACCAAAUCCUCAUCCGUGUAACCCAUGAUACCCUUGAGUGGCCCCUCAGACGCAGCCCUGUAAAACAAUAACAAUCAAAUUAACAACAUUUCACGAAUCCCCAACCAAGAAGAAUGCAAGAAACAUGGACUCAGGAACCUCUCCAUGUCAAACAUGGCAACAGAUUAUCAUUCCAGACAAGAAAUGUAAAUACAUUGAUAAAUUAAUUUAAAACAAUAAACAAGAGACUUACUUGAUAGCCUUCUUAAUGUCCUCAUAGGAGGCACCCUUCUGGAGUCUAACGGUGAGGUCAACAACUGACACAUCCACGGUGGGAACACGGAAGGACAUACCAGUGAGCUUGCCGUUCAAUUCAGGAAGAACCUUACCAACAGCCUGCAGUACAUUAAUAUACAAGUUAGAUGCAGAAUCACAAUUAAAUUUAUAAGAAUAUAGAAUGGUUGCCAACUUUACACUACGCAGAACAUAAGUCAAUAAUGAAGCCUUUUAACACAUGAUUCCAAGGUAUUUGCAUGCUCAUUUAUGUGAUUUAGGCUCAGAUACAUAAAUUAGUUCACAAAGCUAAGUAUAAACCCAAAACAGAGAAAUAAGCUAUCAAGUUUCUAUCACAAAUUAUCAGCUAGCCUAGCAGGUCAAAACAGUUCGCACAAACAAAAGACUACAGAAGAACUAGGAAUUACAGGCUCACUGUAUACAACAUUGUGAGUUUGUCAUAUACCUUGGCAGCACCAGUGCUGCUGGGAAUGAUGUUAAAGCUGGCAGCCCUUCCACCUCUCCAGUCCUUGGCUGAGGGUCCAUCAACAGUCUUCUGGGUGGCUGAGAGACAAGUAUCAUUCUGUCAUUACUACAAGUAUCUUCUCAAUCCUAGGAGGAACAAUGGCUCAACAGACAACUCACCAGUGAUGGCAUGAACAGUGGUCAUCAAACCCUCAAUAAUACCAAAGUUGUCAUUAAUAACCUGUUUUAUGAAGUUAGACAUCAUUAAUAACCCAUCUACAUCAGAAGAGCAGAAACAACUAAAAAAUGGCUCAAAGAAGAGACAACAC
RNAcentral lists this long non-coding RNA (1597 nucleotides) under Setaria viridis. Its description in RNAcentral is "long non-coding RNA (SVIR_LNC006401)". The record is from RNAcentral. Lineage: Eukaryota; Viridiplantae; Streptophyta; Magnoliopsida; Poales; Poaceae.